AGAACUUUGAAGAGAGAGUUCAAGAGUACGUGAAACCGUUCAGGGGUAAACCUGCGAAACUCGAAUGAACGAACGGAGAGAUUCAUCGUCAUUCGGCGGCGUACGGGCGCGCGCCUCGAUGUGGCGCACCGUCAUUCGCGUGGCGUUCUAGCGUUGCACGGGUCGCGUCCGUCGACGUCCGCCGACGGCGUGCACUUCUCUCUCAGUAAUACAUCGCGACCCGUUCGACGUCGGCCUAAGCGCCGUCCGGGAGCCCUGCGGUGCCGCCUCAACAGGGCGGUCGCCGCAGGACCGUGACGGUCCGCCGGCCGGCUAUCGGACGGUAUUAACGACAAAUACGAUUCGCGCACGCGCCUCGCGCGCGUCCGGCCCGACGCAAGCUUAAAUGUCGUCUUCCGACGUCCUGCCCGAGUGCGGACGUUGGAGCGGCGUUGCUGUUUUGGCAGCCGUGCAGUCUCGGACCGUGCGCGUAUCRGUCUGCGAUGAUUCAUUUUCGGGCACUCGCAGGACCCGUCUUGAAACACGGACCAAGGAGUCUAGCAUGUGUGCGAGUCAUUGAGUUUAUAUCAAAAAUAAUGCACAAAACUGAAAGGCGCAACGAAAGUGAAGGCGUGCGCUCGUCGCGCGCUCAGGGAGGAUGGAGCGUCGGUCUCGAUCGAUCUCCCGCACUCCCGAGACGUCUCGUUUCCAAUCCGUGAAUGCAGGCGCGCUCUGAGCACAGAUGCUGGGACCCGAAAGAUGGUGAACUAUGCCUGGUCAGGUCGAAGUCAGGGGAAACCCUGAUGGAGGACCGUAGCGAUUCUGACGUGCAAAUCGAUCGUCGGAACUGGGUAUAGGGGCGAAAGACUAAUCGAACCAUC
RNAcentral lists this ribosomal RNA (860 nucleotides) under Argynnis idalia idalia. RNAcentral's name for it is "partial large subunit ribosomal RNA". The record is from RNAcentral. Lineage: Eukaryota; Metazoa; Arthropoda; Insecta; Lepidoptera; Nymphalidae.